This 243-nucleotide ribosomal RNA is filed under the name Miconia pseudoradula. Its description in RNAcentral is "partial 28S ribosomal RNA". It matches the Rfam family "Eukaryotic large subunit ribosomal RNA", at positions 1 to 241 of the family's 3401-position model. Lineage: Eukaryota; Viridiplantae; Streptophyta; Magnoliopsida; Myrtales; Melastomataceae. The record is from RNAcentral.
GCGAUCCCAGGUCAGGCGGGGCUACCCGCUGAGUUUAAGCAUAUCAAUAAGCGGAGGAAAAGAAACUAACGAGGAUUCCCUUAGUAGCGGCGAGCGAACCGGGAAGAGCCCAGCGUGAAAAUCGUCCGUCGUCGGCGGCCGAAUUGUAGUCUGGAGAAGCGUCCUCAGUGACGGACCGGACCCAAGUUCACUGGAAGGUGGCGCCGGAGAGGGUGAGAGCCCCGUCGUGUCCGGACCCUGUCG